RNAcentral lists this ribosomal RNA (497 nucleotides) under uncultured bacterium. RNAcentral describes it as "partial 16S ribosomal RNA". It matches the Rfam family "Bacterial small subunit ribosomal RNA", at positions 28 to 507 of the family's 1533-position model. The record is from RNAcentral.
GAUGAACGCUGGCGGCGUGCCUAAUACAUGCAAGUCGAGCGAACAGACGAGGAGCUUGCUCCUCUGACGUUAGCGGCGGACGGGUGAGUAACACGUGGAUAACCUACCUAUAAGACUGGGAUAACUUCGGGAAACCGGAGCUAAUACCGGAUAACAUGUUGAACCGCAUGGUUCAACAGUGAAAGACGGUCUUGCUGUCACUUAUAGAUGGAUCCGCGCCGCAUUAGCUAGUUGGUAAGGUAACGGCUUACCAAGGCAACGAUGCGUAGCCGACCUGAGAGGGUGAUCGGCCACACUGGAACUGAGACACGGUCCAGACUCCUACGGGAGGCAGCAGUAGGGAAUCUUCCGCAAUGGGCGAAAGCCUGACGGAGCAACGCCGCGUGAGUGAAGAAGGUCUUCAGAUCGUAAAACUCUGUUAUUAGGGAAGAACAAAUGUGUAAGUAACUAUGCACGUCUUGACGGUACCUAAUCAGAAAGCCACGGCUAACUACGUG